This 465-nucleotide ribosomal RNA is filed under the name Vreelandella stevensii. RNAcentral's name for it is "partial 16S ribosomal RNA". It matches the Rfam family "Bacterial small subunit ribosomal RNA", at positions 338 to 795 of the family's 1533-position model. Lineage: Bacteria; Pseudomonadati; Pseudomonadota; Gammaproteobacteria; Oceanospirillales; Halomonadaceae. The record is from RNAcentral.
CCUACGGGGGGCAGCAGUGGGGAAUAUUGGACAAUGGGGGCAACCCUGAUCCAGCCAUGCCGCGUGUGUGAAGAAGGCCCUCGGGUUGUAAAGCACUUUCAGUGAGGAAGAACGCCUGGUGGUUAAUACCCAUCAGGAAAGACAUCACUCACAGAAGAAGCACCGGCUAACUCCGUGCCAGCAGCCGCGGUAAUACGGAGGGUGCGAGCGUUAAUCGGAAUUACUGGGCGUAAAGCGCGCGUAGGUGGCUUGAUAAGCCGGUUGUGAAAGCCCCGGGCUCAACCUGGGAACGGCAUCCGGAACUGUCAAGCUAGAGUGCAGGAGAGGAGGGUAGAAUUCCCGGUGUAGCGGUGAAAUGCGUAGAGAUCGGGAGGAAUACCAGUGGCGAAGGCGGCCUUCUGGACUGACACUGACACUGAGGUGCGAAAGCGUGGGUAGCAAACAGGAUUAGAUACCCCGGUAGUC